This 815-nucleotide ribosomal RNA is filed under the name uncultured bacterium. Its description in RNAcentral is "bacterial SSU rRNA". It matches the Rfam family "Bacterial small subunit ribosomal RNA", at positions 28 to 867 of the family's 1533-position model. The record is from RNAcentral.
GACGAACGCUGGCGGCGUGCCUAACACAUGCAAGUCGAGCGAGAGACUUCGGUCUCUAGCGGCGGACGGGUGAGUAACACGUGGGUAACCUGCCUCAAAGAGGGGGAUAGCCUCCCGAAAGGGAGAUUAAUACCGCAUAAUAUUAAAUUUUCGCAUGAAAGUUUAAUUAAAGGAGUAAUCCGCUUUGAGAUGGACCCGCGGCGCAUUAGCUAGUUGGUGAGGUAACGGCUCACCAAGGCCACGAUGCGUAGCCGACCUGAGAGGGUGAUCGGCCACAUUGGAACUGAGACACGGUCCAGACUCCUACGGGAGGCAGCAGUGGGGAAUAUUGCACAAUGGGCGAAAGCCUGAUGCAGCAACGCCGCGUGAGUGAUGAAGGCCUUCGGGUUGUAAAGCUCUGUCUUUGGGGACGAUUAUGACGGUACCCAAGGAGGAAGCCACGGCUAACUACGUGCCAGCAGCCGCGGUAAUACGUAGGUGGCAAGCGUUGUCCGGAUUUACUGGGCGUAAAGGAUGCGUAGGCGGAUAUUUAAGUCAGAUGUGAAAUACCCGAGCUUAACUUGGGUGCUGCAUUUGAAACUGGAUAUCUAGAGUGCGGGAGAGGAAAGUGGAAUUCCUAGUGUAGCGGUGAAAUGCGUAGAGAUUAGGAAGAACACCAGUGGCGAAGGCGACUUUCUGGACCGUAACUGACGCUGAGGCAUGAAAGCGUGGGGAGCAAACAGGAUUAGAUACCCUGGUAGUCCACGCCGUAAACGAUGGGUACUAGGUGUAGGGGGUAUCGACUCCCUCUGUGCCGCAGUUAACACAAUAAGUAC